CGUCCGUCGUGGAGAGGGAAACAACCCAGACCGCCAGCUAAGGUCCCAAAUUAUAGCUAAGUGGGAAACGAUGUGGGAAGGCUUAGACAGCUAGGAUGUUGGCUUAGAAGCAGCCAUCAUUUAAAGAAAGCGUAAUAGCUCACUAGUCGAGUCGGCCUGCGCGGAAGAUGUAACGGGGCUAAGCUAUAAACCGAAGCUGCGGCAAUGAAGUUUACUUCAUUGGGUAGGGGAGCGUUCUGUAAGCCGUUGAAGGUGUGUUGUAAAGCAUGCU
RNAcentral lists this ribosomal RNA (271 nucleotides) under Vibrio parahaemolyticus. RNAcentral describes it as "partial 23S ribosomal RNA". It matches the Rfam family "Bacterial large subunit ribosomal RNA", at positions 1002 to 1274 of the family's 2925-position model. Lineage: Bacteria; Pseudomonadati; Pseudomonadota; Gammaproteobacteria; Vibrionales; Vibrionaceae. The record is from RNAcentral.